Canis lupus familiaris (dog) is the source of this 2909-nucleotide long non-coding RNA. RefSeq lists it as uncharacterized. The record is from RefSeq and is a predicted model, not a curated record. The transcript has 13 exons. Lineage: Eukaryota; Metazoa; Chordata; Mammalia; Carnivora; Canidae.
CCAUGACACCAUUUCUAAAUAAGGUCACAUUCUGAGGUUCUGGGAAGGAUAUCAGUCCUGGAGAUUUGGUGGCAGCAAUGAGAUCGAAGUGAACUUCUGUCAGCAUUUGGGGACAAUGAGAAGGGACACCCUGAGAAGACUUUUGAGUUCAUGGUCUUUCCCACCAUUUCCUGGAGCUAUUGGUGGGCCAAGCCUAACUGGGACAGAAGCAUACCGAGGGCUGGCUCCAGGAGGCAAUGUUCUGCGGCACCGUGACCUUGGCUCAGCAAUAGCAGCUGUGGAGUGGGCCUGAGGGUGGCAGUAGCAGCCAGGAAGCACAUUACACCUGUCCUAACCUCAAGAUGGCCACAGCCACCCAACCUUCAGCAUCCACCACCACCCUCAUCAGUCAGCAGCCAUCAACAUCAAGAGAAGACCUCCCCCACCACCAGCAAAAGGAUUACAACUCCCUGAAAGCUCAGUUUUAGAGACUGGAAGUCUGAGAUCAAUGUGCCAGCAUGGUCAAGUUCUGAUGAGGACUCUCUGCUGGGUUACAGACUGCUGUCUUCUUGUUGCAUCCUCACAUGAACAAAGGUCAUGAUCACUCCAUUACUUGGCGGUCAAGAUUAGAUAGAAGAGUGAGGCCUAGUGAGGAUAAGAAUCAUGCUCCAAACUGAACAGUUUGAUUCUUACAGUCAUCUGGUUUCAUUUGACUCUUUUAUUUUGGUUAAAAUGAUUUUCCUUUGUCUAUUGGAUGAUUGACUGAACAUCUUUUUGGCCCACUCAAAUGACCCAACCUCAGUACGGAGACCUACCUUUAUAUUCCUCAAUAUGUAUGAGGCACCAGUACAAUUUAGAGGGGAGCACAGAUUUCCAAAGUGUUUCUCUUAUUGAAACAAAGCGAGAACCAUAAAGGGAAGAAGAUUCUGGGAAAGGAAGUUCCUGGCUUCUCUCAUAGAGUGCAGUAAAGCCCUUGAAAGAAGAAGUUCUGGGGUUGCUGAAUUGUUAAGAGACAGUCCAGAAAAUAUAAAUGGUCAAUGUGUGUCCCUACCCAGGGAAGGAUCAUGUAACAUGUCCUAAAAGGAUCAGGAAACAGAAGAAUUGGUAUUUAAGCUGACUCUUAAGGAGAAAUAGAAAUGUUCAGGCAGUGAAUGUAGAGGAAGUAAAGUAAGAAAGGUGGGGUGAGCAGACAGCUUGUGCACAGGCAUGAGUAGGCAGGAACACAUGGCGUGGGUAGGUAGGAGCACAGACAUGGGUAGGUGGGAGCACAUGGCAUGUGUAGGUGGGAGCACAUGGCAUAUACCAUGAGCUGUAAUAGCUGAGGAGGAUUGUGGUCUGCAAUGCAGCAUGGGAGAGGAAUGGAGGAAGAGGAGUCUGGAAAGGUCGCAUAAGAAGCUUAAAGGCAAUAGUGUGCCUCAUGAGGGAAUAACAUGGGUAAAUUUGCCUUUUAAGCAACAGAGAGUAGUCAGGCAACAAUGAAGGAGAACAACUCUAAACAGUGCAACUGGUUCCCCUUUAAGAAAGUGUACAUGAGAAAUGAUGGAAAGUGACUGAAAUCUGAAAACUUGAACAUUGAACUAAAAAUAUGACCAGAUUAAUGAGUUUGAUAAGUUGGGAAGGUGUCCUGGGGUCCUGACUUGGGUAGCUAGUGUUUCAUCCAUUGCACUUAAAGACACAGGAAGCUAGGAAAACUGAGGAAAAUUAUGAAUUUGGUUUUAAAGCAUUUGGAGUUGGCAACCUGUGAACUAUUCACAUAACACUGUUCAGUGUACAGUUGUGAAUAUGAGUGUCAAACUCAAGGAAGAAGCCUUGGUGGAAAUGUGUUUGUGAGUAAUUAUUGAAGCAUGGUUGAGAUACAGGCGUGGAUGAAUGUUUGUUGAAAAAACAAGCCAUGUCAUGAAUAAUAAACCUCUUAUUAAGUAGUUAAUGAGAGCUUGGCAUUAUGCUUCAACUGUGGUUUUUUUAAUAAGUAGAUAAUAAUUUGUUCCUGCCCACACAGCAAUAAGUAAAUAUCUCGGCAUGUGUGUAGUUCAGAUUCUAAACUUAACGAAGUAGGGCAGCCCGGGUGGCUCAAGGUUUAGCGCCGCCUUUGGCCCAGGGCCUGAUCCUGGAGACCCGGGAUCGAGUCCCACAUCAGGCUCCCUGCAUGGAGCCUGCUUCUCCCUCUGCCUGUGUCUUUGCCUCUUUCUCUCUCUCUGUGUUUCUCGUGAAUGAAUGAAUAAAAUCUUUUUAAAAAAUUUAAAAAAUUUAAACUUAAGGAAGUAUAAGUAAUAUACUCACAAGGAACUGGACAUAAAUAGUAAAAAUUGUGCAUAUUUUACAACUAGAUUUUUUGCUGGACUCUCAGUGACAAAUCUCACAACCUUCAGGAUGUUGGCCUCAUUUUCUUUGCGUAGUGCUAUGGGGAAAAUGGAAACUAGAAAAGCAUAUAGACUGGUCAAUGGACCAACCACAGCACCACCCUGCCUCUUGACUUCUGUUAGUUCAAUAAGUUGAAAGAGGAUGGUGGAGUAACAUUUUAUUCAUUCAUUCUACAAUAUUUAUUGGUCAACUUCCAGGUGCAGGCACUGAGCUUGCUACUAGAGAUUUAAUGAAAAGACUGCCAGAUCGUCAGUGACAAGACAGGACCAAGUCACUCCUGCAGAGGCAGUGCCAUGUUGAAGGGGGCCCUCUGCUGGACUGAAGAAAACAUAUUCGUUUUUGCCACAUUACUGCAUUGAAUAAACUUCAGGCUUCUUGGACUAAACAAAAGAAGGAAGAAUUAAAGACAAAUCUCCAUUUUCAUCAGGAUUAGGGCAGGAUGACUGAGAGAUCCUCAAUGUCUGUGCACCUCUACUACUCAAACUGCAGUCCAUGGACCAGAAGCAUCAGUAUCAACUAGGAAGUUGUUAAAAAUGAAAUUUGGACCCCAUUCCAAACCUGCUGAAUCC